GACGAACGCUGGCGGCGUGCCUAAUACAUGCAAGUUGAGCGCUGAAGGUUGGUACUUGUACCAACUGGAUGAGCAGCGAACGGGUGAGUAACGCGUGGGGAAUCUGCCUUUGAGCGGGGGACAACAUUUGGAAACGAAUGCUAAUACCGCAUAAAAACUUUAAACACAAGUUUUAAGUUUGAAAGAUGCAAUUGCAUCACUCAAAGAUGAUCCCGCGUUGUAUUAGCUAGUUGGUGAGGUAAAGGCUCACCAAGGCGAUGAUACAUAGCCGACCUGAGAGGGUGAUCGGCCACAUUGGGACUGAGACACGGCCCAAACUCCUACGGGAGGCAGCAGUAGGGAAUCUUCGGCAAUGGACGAAAGUCUGACCGAGCAACGCCGCGUGAGUGAAGAAGGUUUUCGGAUCGUAAAACUCUGUUGGUAGAGAAGAACGCUGGCGAGAGUGGAAAGCUCAUCAAGUGACGGUAACUACCCAGAAAGGGACGGCUAACUACGUG
RNAcentral lists this ribosomal RNA (497 nucleotides) under uncultured bacterium. RNAcentral describes it as "partial 16S ribosomal RNA". It matches the Rfam family "Bacterial small subunit ribosomal RNA", at positions 28 to 507 of the family's 1533-position model. The record is from RNAcentral.